UGUGCAGCCCUAAAAAAUGUUUGUCAGCUCCCCCUUGCAGCAGGGGUUUGCCAAUGAAAUAAAAAUGAUGGGCUGGGACUUCUAGGAAAGUUCCUUCAAGAGGGCUGCCUCCGCUGAGAAAUGAGUUAUUUUCCUCUCUCCCCCCUUCAUCCUCCUUGUUCCUGACUGGAAUAUGGUUGUGAUUGCUGGAGCUCGAGUAGCCAUUUUGUGACAUGAUGUGACCCUGAGUUUGGGAGGCCCAAGUUUAAACAGCAGGUAAGUUCUAGAGCCACGCAUUGGACUUGUUUGGUUUUUUUGAGAGAGAGCACGAGCAGAAGAGAGUGGGAAAGGGAGAUAAAGAAUCCCAAGCCGACUCCACACUCCACAUCAGCUAAAUCCGACAUGGGGCUCUAUCCCACAACCCUGGAAUUAUGACCUGAAUUAAAAUCAAGAGUGGACACUCAACUGAGCCACCCAGGUGCCCCUGGACUUUUGAUUCUAAAACCUAUAUUCUUCACCCUUUGUAACCCUUUCCUCCUCAAGAUACACACACACAGAGCUGAAACAAAACAGGGAGCCUUGUGGGGUUAAGUAGGGCUUCUUGCGGGAUGGAAGGCCUCCGUGAGUGCAGAGAAGGUUCCUGCCACAUGAGCUCAGCCCCACACUCAGGGAGGAGACGGGCCAGACGACAGCAAUUCUCGUUCUACUGAUGGUCCUAAAAUCAAGUUCUCAUUUCUUCUCUGACUGCAACCAGAUAAAAUUACACAGUGCUAGCAACUUAUAAAUAGAAGAAAAUAAAUGGGGAGAAAUGAACACAUUAAGCCAUGAGCCACCAGGAGAAAUCAGAGGAGGGGAUUUGCUUUGUUGGUAUUUCUUUCAUUCUGCCAACACCAUGGCUAAAACUCUCUGUGCUCUGCACCUGCUGUGCGUGGUCCCGGUGACCCCUGGUGCCCUGCACCUGCCAUGUGUGGUCCCCGGUGACCCCCCGAGCCCUGCACCUGCUGUGCAUAGACCCUGGUGACCCCCCCCGUGUCCUGCACCUGCUGUGCAUGGACCCCGGUGACCCCCCGUGCCCUGCACCUGCUGCAUGUGGACCCCCAUGAGCCUCUGGCUCCACCCCUUUCUCACAUCAGCUGAAUCCAAAAUGAAAAUGCAGAGCAUCUUACUCUGGAACUUGAUCUGCACUUGGGACAGUCUGCUCCGAUGCUGAGUCCACAAAGUGACACACAAACCAG
Molecule: long non-coding RNA, 1214 nt
Filed under: Felis catus (domestic cat)
Lineage: Eukaryota; Metazoa; Chordata; Mammalia; Carnivora; Felidae
Description: lncRNA (ENSFCAG00000048475.1)
Source: RNAcentral